Molecule: ribosomal RNA, 208 nt
Filed under: Buchnera aphidicola
Lineage: Bacteria; Pseudomonadati; Pseudomonadota; Gammaproteobacteria; Enterobacterales; Erwiniaceae
Description: partial 23S ribosomal RNA
Rfam family: Bacterial large subunit ribosomal RNA
Source: RNAcentral
CAAGAUUAAGUAAUUAAGCGUAUAUGGUGGAUGCCUUGGCAAUCAGAGGCGAUGAAGGACGUGCUAAUCUGCGAAAAGCGUCGGUAAGUUGAUAUGAGGCGUUAUAACCGGCGAUAUCCGAAUGGGGAAACCCAACAUUUAAUAAUGUUAUUAUUAACUGAAUUCAUAGGUUAAUAAAGCAAACCAAGGGAACUGAAACAUCUAAGUA